UUUCCUCUUAACAAUUUGUUUGAUGACUUACUUUCUGCAGGUUCUGAGUACCUAGGCAAUGACUUUCUUUUCACGGUCAACUAGGUUGUUGUUGAGGGACAGGAAAAGUAAGAUAGUGAAAGGGGGAUAAUGUCAGCGGACAUAUACAUUAGUUUUGAGGCAGCUGGUGGAAGUGGGAUAAAGAUAAUCAAUCAGCGUGAAUCAGCUAGCAGCAACCUGUUUAAACAAAAAGAAUUCCAUUUGAAGGAACUUAGUAUAGGUGGUCUGGGUACAGAGUUUGCAGAUAUAUUUCGAAGAGCUUUUGCCUCCAGGGUUUUCCCCUCCACAUGUUACUAGCAAAUUGGGAAUCAAACAUGUUAAAGGAAUGCUUCUUUUUGGGCCUCCUGGUACUGGCAAGACUCUGAUGGCACGUCAAAUAGGAAAGAUGUUGAAUGGAAAGGAUCCAAAGGAUCUCCCAACCAGCUUGUCCUUCUUAUUCUCGAAUGGAUCUGAAUCAGAUCAAACAUGUAGCUCGAGCUUCUGGAUUAGCCGCCAACUAGAAGCUAGCUGUUGGAUCUUCCACAAGCUAGUUGUUGCUGAUGCUGUCAGCUAGCUAGGUGUUGCUGCUGUCAGCUAGCUACUACUGCUGCUUUCAGCUAGGUGAUGCUCUGCUGCCUGCCAGCCAGAGAUGCUCUGAAGCCUGCUGCCACUAAAGCUCCAGCCAACAUCUGCGCUGAACUGGUUAUGAGAGAAGCAACAAGGCCUGUUGUUGUUGCUGAUAACCCCAACCUACUAAUCUUAAGAAGGUUCCUGCUGGAGUUAAUAGUAUAAACAACUAUUACUGUGUUGACGGUCAUAAGACUGGAAAUUUCAUCACGAUAACUCUUUAUUUGGCAACGAUGAAGUCUUACUUAUUUGGGGAAGCACAUGAAGUUAUCGACUUAUUAGUUAUUUCGUUGUUACAUUGUAGUAGUUGAUUAGUUGUUUAUCUUGCCAUUUGCAAAUUAUUAAACAACAUUUUGUUAAGUUUUUAAGACUAGACAAUUAUA
Long non-coding RNA from Spinacia oleracea (spinach), 1028 nucleotides. RefSeq lists it as uncharacterized. The record is from RefSeq and is a predicted model, not a curated record. The transcript has 6 exons. Lineage: Eukaryota; Viridiplantae; Streptophyta; Magnoliopsida; Caryophyllales; Amaranthaceae.